Molecule: ribosomal RNA, 982 nt
Filed under: human gut metagenome
Description: bacterial LSU rRNA
Rfam family: Bacterial large subunit ribosomal RNA
Source: RNAcentral
ACGGUCCUAAGGUAGCGAAAUUCCUUGUCAGGUAAGUUCUGACCCGCACGAAAGGCGUAACGAUUUGGGCGCUGUCUCAGCUGUAGACUCGGUGAAGUCUUAGUACCUGUGAAGAUGCAGGUUACCCGCGACUAGACGGAAAGACCCCAUGGAGCUUCACUGCAGGUUGAUAUUGGGAUUUGAUGCAGCAUGUACAGGAUAGGUAGGAGGCAAAGAGAUGGAUACGCCAGUAUUCAAGGAGCCGCUGUUGGGAUACUACCCCUGUUGUAUUGGAUUUCUAACCGGACGACGUAGAACCGUUGACGGGACAGUGUCAGUCGGGCAGUUUGACUGGGGCGGUCGCCUCCCAAAGAGUAACGGAGGCGCCCAAAGAUACCCUCAGCUUGGAUGGAAACCAAGCGCAGAGUGCAAAGGCAAAAGGGUGUUUGACUGCGAGACCCACAAGUCGAGCAGGGACGAAAGUCGGGCUUAGUGAUCCGGCGGUGCUGAAUGGAAAGGCCGUCGCUCAACGGAUAAAAGCUACCCUGGGGAUAACAGGCUGAUCUCCCCCAAGAGUCCACAUCGACGGGGAGGUUUGGCACCUCGAUGUCGGCUCAUCGCAUCCUGGGGCUGAAGUAGGUCCCAAGGGUUGGGCUGUUCGCCCAUUAAAGCGGUACGCGAGCUGGGUUCAGAACGUCGUGAGACAGUUCGGUCCCUAUCUGUCGUGGGCGCAGGAAAUUUGAGAAGAGCUGUCCUCAGUACGAGAGGACCGGGAUGGACGCAUCAAUGGUGGACCAGUUGUCACGCCAGUGGCAUAGCUGGGUAGCUAAAUGCGGAAGGGAUAAACGCUGAAGGCAUCUAAGUGUGAAACCCACUUCAAGAUGAGAUUUCCCAUUGCGCAAGCAAGUAAGACCCCUUAAAGACGAUAAGGUAGAUAGGUCAGGAGUGUAAGCAUGGUGACAUGUUAAGCGGACUGAUACUAAUAGGUCGAGGGCUUGACCGA